GCGCGAGGUUGAAGUGUACAGUCAGUGCUUAGUGCGUCGUGCAUCUCAUUCUUGGGCAGGAUUAUGUUGGCGACAGUCAGACACGAGCCUAUGCUCAGGCAGCGCACAAAGCAGCUUCUGAACCAUUGAAACGGCGGACCAUCAACCAGAGGCGAACUAAGCAUAACGGCAUCCUAUUCAGCCAAACGGUUGAUGGAUGAUGGACAAUGACAGGUUUCAGAUCGAAUGUUGCCUGGACUACUGAUGACCAUUCCAUGGCCUUCUGGCCAUCUUAUGCAGAUCCCAAUCAAAAUGGCAUUACUGAUGCAUGAAGUCCUUGGACCAUCGUGGACCACCCACACCAUUGUAAUUUUGGGCACUGCAGGACGUACCUAAGGCGUGGGACUAGUAGAACAUAAACGGCACCAACUACGUCAGCACAUCCCCCAGUAUUGUGGCUCCUGCUGGGCAAACGGCAGCAGCAGUGCCAUGGUGCUGGUCUUCGCUGGAUUUGCCACGCUUUGUUUUUUACUCACCUAAGACAGUAAUUGCUCCAUAUCUGAUGUCAUUGGUAUCAAAACAUAUUUUUGGCGACAUCUGACAAGUGAUACAUUUGAUCUGUAUUUUCUAGAUGACUGGCUUUAUAAAAUCCAAUGUCCUUUGAGUCCAUGGGGCUGAAGAACAGUGACUAGUUUCAAAAACCUCCUAAAAAGUUAUGUACGUUUUUUUUGUGUUCCCUCAUCGCGAGUGAGGCAAGGUGGCAAUUGUUGGUCCACAUGUAUGUUUGAUUUUCAAUAUUGUCUUUGAGUUUUCUGGGUUUCAUGAAGGCUCUUUCCAAUGUGAUGUGCCGGUUGUUGUAAAACCAAUUGGGGUUUCCUGCAAACUUUUUUAAUUUCGUGUAGUUUUCAAAUGGAAAGGCUGAUACUCCAUUCAAUGUUCCAUAUCUCCUGACAUCAUAAGCUAGAUGGCAUAAAUUAUGCACAUUAUACACCAAUUCAUUUGCUCCAUAUAAUUGUUCAAAUUCAUUCAAAAAAUGGGACUGAGAUUGAUAAUAAAGAGAUUGAGGAAAUUGGUGCAUUGGGAAGAUGGAACGAUGCCUUACAAAACAAUUGGGCACAGAAGGAACUCAAUUUCUGACAAACGUCUUGGCUUUGAAAUUCAAUUAGGAUGUGUUAUCUUAGCUGCACCAGUCUUGCAGACAUAGCCAUCACUGCCUGAGAAACCAGCUUACAAAACAGAUCUCCUUUCAUCCAAAAACGCAUCAGUUUUCGAGUGACGCCUAGACAAACGAGAUGCAUGUAAUCCAGGAUGAACAUUAUCAUGCCUAGAUUAAUUCGAGUAAGGGGGGAGUCGCCCUUGUGGUGGUCCUCAUCCACUUUUCUCAAAAACUGGUCAUCUGUGCGGGGCACAGCUGUCUUAGGGAAAGUCAUAUGGUUGUGUAUCAAAUGGCACUUUGCCGAAGAUUGGCUACAACUGCAAAGCUGAGCUCUUAUACAAGGGCAAAGCAUCCACAUUAACUUGUAAACCAAUCAACUCGCUAACAUUGUGGAGGGCAUCUGUUGGUAUUGUCUGGAGGUGUUUAGGAAUGCAAAUGUGUAAAUAUUCCGCUCCAUAGGCUGCUAUUUUAGCUGUUUUUAGCAGGGUUCGAGCUUGCUUUGGCAGGCUUGGAUGGAACUCCUGUAGCACACUAAGAAGAUCAGAGGUGUUCUGUGGCGCAUCGUUCCUCAGAUCCCAG
Neoarius graeffei (lesser salmon catfish) is the source of this 1714-nucleotide long non-coding RNA. RefSeq lists it as uncharacterized. The transcript has 6 exons. Lineage: Eukaryota; Metazoa; Chordata; Actinopteri; Siluriformes; Ariidae. The record is from RefSeq and is a predicted model, not a curated record.